Molecule: long non-coding RNA, 359 nt
Organism: Rattus rattus (black rat)
Lineage: Eukaryota; Metazoa; Chordata; Mammalia; Rodentia; Muridae
Exons: 2
Source: RefSeq, a predicted model, not a curated record
GAGAUGCCUGGGGGGAUGGGAGGGGUCUUUAUUGGUCUGGGAGGCAAGCAAAGACUCCUAAAAUGGCUACAGGAAGCUCACUGGUGUCUGAAGGACAGUGGCGAGGGCGGUGGGCAGAGGAAUAUGGACCAAAUGUUGGAUGACAUUUCCACUUGCUUAUUUGGCUGAGAAUGAGGAAAAAAUGCUUUUCAACAGAAACUGACCAUCUUUUCAUGGUGCCAACUCUGGGCAAUGAAAGCCAGGCCUGCCCUUCUGCAUCUGCUGAAAGUUGAGGUUGUCAACUCUAAUCACACCCAUUAUUAUUCUGUAUGAUCUUUCCAAUAACUCUGUGAGCAAAUAAAAUGGAGUUUUAAUUGUAA